This 73-nucleotide transfer RNA is filed under the name Sulfobacillus harzensis. It matches the Rfam family "tRNA". From Rfam's summary of the family: Transfer RNA (tRNA) molecules are approximately 80 nucleotides in length. Their secondary structure includes four short double-helical elements and three loops (D, anti-codon, and T loops). Lineage: Bacteria; Bacillati; Bacillota; Clostridia; Eubacteriales; Clostridiales Family XVII. Incertae Sedis. The record is from Rfam by way of RNAcentral.
UGCGGGAUCGCCAAGUCGGUAAAGCCCGGAGUUUGGAACCCCGCACGCGCAGGUUCUUGUCCUGCUCCCGCAA